This 287-nucleotide ribosomal RNA is filed under the name uncultured Bacteroidota bacterium. RNAcentral's name for it is "uncultured Bacteroidetes bacterium partial 16S ribosomal RNA". It matches the Rfam family "Bacterial small subunit ribosomal RNA", at positions 28 to 310 of the family's 1533-position model. The record is from RNAcentral. Lineage: Bacteria; Pseudomonadati; Bacteroidota.
GAUGAACGCUAGCGGGAGGCUUAACACAUGCAAGUCGAGGGGCAGCACGAGGUAGUAAUACUUUGGUGGCGACCGGCGUACGGGUGAGUAACGCGUAUGCAACCUACCCUGUACUGGGGGAUAGCCCGGAGAAAUUCGGAUUAAUACCCCAUAAAUAUAUUUGGAGGCAUCUUCAGAUAUUUAAAGUUUCGACGGUACGGGAUGGGCAUGCGUAACAUUAGCUGGUUGGUAAGGUAACGGCUUACCAAGGCUACGAUGUUUAGGGGUCCUGAGAGGGUGAUCCCCCA